This 73-nucleotide transfer RNA is filed under the name Cloacibacillus evryensis DSM 19522. It matches the Rfam family "tRNA". Rfam says of the family: Transfer RNA (tRNA) molecules are approximately 80 nucleotides in length. Their secondary structure includes four short double-helical elements and three loops (D, anti-codon, and T loops). Further hydrogen bonds mediate the characteristic L-shaped molecular structure. tRNAs have two regions of fundamental functional importance: the anti-codon, which is responsible for specific mRNA codon recognition, and the 3' end, to which the tRNAs corresponding amino acid is attached (by aminoacyl-tRNA synthetases). tRNAs cope with the degeneracy of the genetic code in two manners: having more than one tRNA (with a specific anti-codon) for a particular amino acid; and 'wobble' base-pairing, i.e. permitting non-standard base-pairing at the 3rd anti-codon position. Lineage: Bacteria; Thermotogati; Synergistota; Synergistia; Synergistales; Synergistaceae. The record is from Rfam by way of RNAcentral.
GCCGGUGUAGCUCAGCUGGUAGAGCAGCUGACUUGUAAUCAGCAGGUCGGGGGUCCGAAUCCUCUCGCCGGCU